This 301-nucleotide ribosomal RNA is filed under the name uncultured bacterium. RNAcentral describes it as "partial 16S ribosomal RNA". It matches the Rfam family "Bacterial small subunit ribosomal RNA", at positions 509 to 807 of the family's 1533-position model. The record is from RNAcentral.
CAGUAGCCGCGGGAAUACGUAGGUGGCAAGCGUUGUCCGGAAUUAUUGGGCGUAAAGGGCUCGCAGGCGGUUUCUUAAGUCUGAUGUGAAAGCCCCCGGCUCAACCGGGGAGGGUCAUUGGAAACUGGGAAACUUGAGUGCAGAAGAGGAGAGUGGAAUUCCACGUGUAGCGGUGAAAUGCGUAGAGAUGUGGAGGAACACCAGUGGCGAAGGCGACGCUCUGGUCUGUAACUGACGCUGAGGAGCGAAAGCGUGGGGAGCGAACAGGAUUAGAUACCCCAGUAGUCCCUGUCUCUUAUAC